CAGCUUCCUGAACUGCGGGGAGCUUGGUGGGCGGUCGCUGCAAGCCGGGCGUAGGCCGCAGAGGUCGCGAGUUCAGGCGUCCCGGCUCCCGUGUGACUGUCGUGAUGUUUUUCUCCCAGGCCGGGGCCCGGCCGCGGAUGUGGGAAGCCAGCCCGUCAGAACACAAGAAGUGGGUGGAAGUAUUUAAAGCAUGCGAUGAAGAAAACAAAGGCUGUCUAAGCAGAGAGAACUUUAAAGUUGCUGUUGUAAUGCUGUUUGGAUACAAGCCCUCCAAGAUAGAAGCUGAUGCUGUGAUGUCCUCAGUAGAUCCAAACACUUCCGGGAUAUUACUUAAGGAGUUUUUAGACAUUGUAAGGAAAAAGAAGGAAGCUCAACUAUAUUGGAAUGAAAUAAGACACAUCUUCACAGCUUUUGACAGGCACUAUCGUGGAUAUUUAACUCUGGAAGAUUUCAAAAAAGCAUUUAAGCAGGUGGCUCCCAAGUUAUCGGAAAGGAUUAUUCUCGAGGUAUUCAGCAGACUGAGAAUUUUCAGCAAGUGUUUACCCUGCCAUGUUGACUCAGAAGUCUAAUAAUCCCUACUCCAACCUCUUACUCAGCUGAAUCUCUCAUUCGGGCACACCCCUAACGUUUGCAGGGCCUGGGGCAAGGUACAAACAGAAGCCCGCAUGCUAUAUGUCUAGAGAUAUGAAAAUUAUAAAUCAAGAGUAUCCGGAAAGGGUCAUUGUGGUGCAUAGACCCAGAGUAUAGACAAAAUCUAAUUCAGGCUUUGUAAAAGACACCUUAUCACCCACACUCGAAUGUGUUCAAUACACCUCCCACCUCUCCUCAGGCAUAUCAAAGCACAUCAGGUCCACCCCUCUGGCCGGGCAGCACCUUCUUCAAGAGAAAUGGAGCCCUUCUACAAGCAUAAAAGCAAUUGCAAGAAUUAACUGGAAGCGCUCGAGGUCCUGUUGAGGGCGGCCUCUGUGUUUCGGUUCUCGCAGAUUCACUGGCAAGAGGGCCUGCUGAAUCAUCUUGCAGUUUUGAGGAUAAUGGGCCCCCUGGAUGAGCUAAUGAAAUGGAAAGAAGACCUUCCAGGCCUUUUCAGUGCACAGAGCAGGACUGAGCUGCCGCAGGCCCGAGAGCAGAUAGGGGAAAGGAAACCAGCUCUUCUGCUGUCAGAUGCACGUUGUCCCCAUGAGCGCACAGAUGUGCUUGCCACUGGUGUGAAACGUGCAGGAAGUUGAUUAUGCCCAGUAGAUGACCUGCUUUGGGGAAUGCCAGCUUCCCAAGUUCUAGGCCGGCUUCAUGCGCUUAUUUUCCUGGGAGUCCUAUUAUGUAUUGCCCGCUCUCCACAACCCUUAUGCCUUACCCUCUCCCAUAGCUCCGCAGUGGGUUUUUUCUGGUAAAAUGUAUGCAGUACCUCCCUUUGGUUGUGUUUGGGGCUGUGAAAGUCUCAGCAGCAAGUAGUCAGUACAUCAGAAACAAGCUCCUGUGGAAAGGAGCCCUGGAUUACCAGUGAUGGGACCUGGCUGUGGUCCCAACUCUGCCACUUGGUAAACUCUGACCUUGGGCAAAACUCAGGCACCCCUAGGAUUUCAUGUUCUUGCCUGUGAAUUAAGGAGCGGACCUCAGGAGUGGCAGGGGUUUCCUGCGGAUUACAGCUCUGAGCCAUACUCGCAACUUCCCUAGAGGGGGUCAAGGGCUUUCCUGGUGGUCCAGUGGUUAAGACUCCGUGCUUCCACUGCAGGGUGCACAGGUUUGAUCCUUGGUCGGGGAAGAUCCUGCAUGCUGCGUGGUGCGACCAAAAAAAAAAAAAGACAAGAAAAAAUGAAAUAUAGUAAAGUGGGUCAAAAUGGUUUCGAGGCGUAGCUCAGCGGGAGGAGUGCUACCUUCAGCCAGCAGUGUCCGCGGAUGGCCCAAGGAGAGGAAACAGGGUGAUGGUUGGCUGGCUACAUCUUGAUCCUUGAACAAACCCUUUCUCAGACCCUUUCUCAUGGAUCGUAGGAAGGCAACCUACUACAGAUUUGGACAACCUGGAAAGGACCCAUCUUGGCCUCGUGGGCACCUGGCUUAACCCUCUCUGUGGGGAUAAUAAUAAACAUGCUUGCCGUAUGGGGUUCUUAUAGGACUCAAUGAAUUCAUAUCAGUAAAGCCCUGAGAACAGGCUGAAUUCCCAUAGUUAUUAUAUCAUUGUACAAAACUAUGAAUCUUAGGAAAACAGGGCUAGCAUCCUCUGAAUGUGGUGUCCCUGUGCUGUUUCUCUUCGCUGCUAAAAUUUCCCUUGUCCAUUUGUUGGGGCUAGUGAUUCUCAGAACAGGGCAAAAGAUGGGAUACCCCGGAUCCUAUUGGAUUUAUAUGUGGAUCUGAAAGACAACUUGUUCAACUCUUUAUAUCAGAUUCCUUUCAAAUAGGACUGCUUCCGUGUGAGGUCCCCCAGCUCACAAAGACUGAGUUAUACCCCUUGCUGUACAGUUGUACAUACCCAGCAGGUGCAUAGAUGACCACGCAACAAAGCACGGAUUCAGCACCACAUCAGCCCAGGUUUAAAUCCCUCUCUCUUUGGGCACCCAGUUGUUUGACCUUGGGCCUCAGUUUCAAGUGUCUGUAAAAUGGGGCUACGAGUUGUGCUCCCCAGAAUCUUUGCAGAGAUUAAAGGAAGGUGUGAACGUGGAAACAUUUGUCCAGUCCAGUGCCUGGCCUGGCACCUCACAAACACUUAAUAAAGAGUGAAGUUAACCUU
Balaenoptera acutorostrata (minke whale) is the source of this 2722-nucleotide RNA transcript. It is a transcript of the gene named EF-hand calcium-binding domain-containing protein 11-like, with no coding region annotated. The record is from RefSeq and is a predicted model, not a curated record. The transcript has 10 exons. Lineage: Eukaryota; Metazoa; Chordata; Mammalia; Artiodactyla; Balaenopteridae.